GGCAGGAAAAAGAGCUGUCUGGUGACAUCUGGGCUGUUUACAUUACCAAUAGUGGAAACAUAUGGUUAAAAACAGACACUCUGAAUUCUGGAUAGCAAAAUCUGUUUUCAGAGAGACAAUAUAUAACAUUUGGUGGCUGACAUUUAAGAACUAAUCAUGUUUGGGGCCAACUGAAAGAAAUUGUCUGGAGAGCACUGGCCUACUGUUUCUGUUGUCAUUAGCUGAAACAUAAAGAUUACAAUUUGAUCAUUUCAAUUUGGAAUAGAAAUAUCUGUUUUCAGAGAGGUCAAUAUAUAAUAUUCAAUAACUUUUGCAAGUCAACACGAAGUCCUCUUCUUUUCACAAUGAAAGGGGGAGAGCAUCCAAAAGGAAGACCUCAUGAAAGGCUCCUUUCAAACAGUGGCCCUUGCUGUGUCCUCUUGAUUAAGGGCUCAUAAAUAAAAGGACACAACAGCUGCAACUUAUGAUUAACCAUGGUAUAGUAUUUCAAAUAGUGAAUAACAUUAUAGUUAUUGCAACUAACAAAACUCCUUACAUUGGUUCAACACAUGACCUUGGUUUUGUCUGGCCUGUAGGUGACCUGAAUUGAAGAGAGAUGUCUGGGUUGAAAUUUAACUCGGUGUCUGAAAAGCUAUGUCACAUGGCUGGAAAGUCAGUAACGCUGCAGUUUUGGGAACCCUUGCUCCUCUCAAUGCAAUUGGAUGGUAUAAAGAUAAAUCCGAGAAGAGCAGUGAAAAAUAAAGCUAAUUGGUCAGUCUAGGGCAACUCUUGAAUAAUGUCCAAACAUUUGCAAACCCUCUGAGUAAACCACUCAGGUUAUUCUUAAACAACUAAGGUAACUUUACUGCCUGCCAUGGGCAAGUGCCCUUUAGAUUAACAUGGUAAACAAUUCUCGAGUGAUUAAUGACAUACACUAUUUCUCUGCCCUCUACUGAGGGCAGAACUCUCUUAAGGAGAGCAGGAAAGUCUUUACCUCUUGAUUUAUAGGCUCCGACCAAAGCAAUCUGAGUUUUCUCUGAGUAUGGGAAGCUAUUCCUGAGGAAGAUAUGGGCUCUCAAAAGAGAGACCACCGAAGACAAGGAAGAAAGGAUCUUCCAUUAUCCCUUUGCUCCAUUAACUAUCCUCUGAGAAGCUGCCAGUGUCCCUCCAGUCUUAGUUAAUUAGAUGGGUUCAGGACCUAAUUCUAAAAACUACUUUCCCCAUGACCAUAAUAGAUGAAAACUAAAGGAAGAGCCUGACUUUUCUCACUUCAAUUGGGUGACUCUGGAAGUCAUGAAUCUGUUGAAAAUGGUAAAGCCACAAGAUAGAAGGAACCACAUGAUGGAAAACAAUUCUGCUUGCAGAAGAGCUUCCGAUCAAUCAAGAACAUCUGAUUAAACUUGAUGUAAGGAAAAAAUAAAUUUGUACUUAUUACAUCAUUGAAA
Leopardus geoffroyi (Geoffroy's cat) is the source of this 1424-nucleotide long non-coding RNA. RefSeq lists it as uncharacterized. NCBI's taxonomy places the organism in Eukaryota, Metazoa, Chordata, Mammalia, Carnivora, Felidae. The record is from RefSeq and is a predicted model, not a curated record. The transcript is spliced from 2 exons.